ACGUGCUACAAUGGGUGCUACAAUGGGUUGCCAAGCCGCAAGGUGGAGCCAAUCCCAUAAAGGCAUCCCCAGUUCGGAUUGGAGUCUGAAACUCGACUCCAUGAAGUUGGAAUCGCUAGUAAAGGCGGAUCAUAACGCCGCCUUGAAUACGUUCUCGGGUCUUGUACUCACCGCCCGUCACGUCAAGAGAGUUGGGGGUGCCCGAAGGUCGUUGUAGAACGGCCGAAGGCAAAUCCAGCAAUAGGGACGAAGUCGUAACAAGGCAUCCGUAGCGGAAGCUGUGGAUGGAUCACCUCCUUU
RNAcentral lists this ribosomal RNA (300 nucleotides) under Candidatus Woesebacteria bacterium. Its description in RNAcentral is "partial 16S ribosomal RNA". It matches the Rfam family "Bacterial small subunit ribosomal RNA", at positions 1220 to 1533 of the family's 1533-position model. The record is from RNAcentral. Lineage: Bacteria; Candidatus Woeseibacteriota.